Cynoglossus semilaevis (tongue sole) is the source of this 1083-nucleotide long non-coding RNA. RefSeq lists it as uncharacterized. The transcript is spliced from 2 exons. Lineage: Eukaryota; Metazoa; Chordata; Actinopteri; Pleuronectiformes; Cynoglossidae. The record is from RefSeq and is a predicted model, not a curated record.
UUUAUUGCACAGGAAAUUACAGGUACUAGAGAAAAAUUUGAUUUUUUUUUCUAGCAGCAGACAGAAAAUGAAAUGUACCAAACAUAUGAACAUGUGUCACAAUAACAUCUCUAAUACCACAGCUGCAGGGUCAGACUGCAGCAGGAGCUCAGAUAAUACUGCUGGUUCUUUCUGAGGUAUCUUUAUUGGUUUCGUACAAUUUCCAGCUAUCUACGCACCCCUUCACAUUUUCCCAUUUUUUAGCUUUCAGGGACAUGGCUAGAAUCCUGAUUUGAAUUUAUCUUCUUAAAUUGAUUAAUAAAUUGCCUCAAAAUGGGCCACGUUUACCAGGAAAACAUAUAUUGUUGUUUAAAAUGAUAUUCCCUCAAGAGGCAUUCAAACAUUAUCUAACACAUCGCAAAAUGCUAACUUGAUAAAACCCGGAGGCUUAACUUUUAAGAUGCUAAUUAUCAUCAUAAUUAAAUCUGUCGGGUUAACAUCAAACAAUCUAAUAACUUUAAUGUAAUAGGUUUGCUAGCUUUAGCAUGAGCAACAGGUAAAUCUUGUUAUACUCAGCGGCUCUUCAAACAACAGAGGCCGAUUCUUAUGGAGAUUUAAUUUGUUGUUUCUGUUAUCCUAACUAUGUGUGCUAUUAGCAUAACUCUGAAGAAGCUAACUGGCCAAAAAAGGGCAGGGGUUGAAGCUGCCUCAACAUUUAGAGUCACCUCAAAGCAAAGGUUUGUUUUUAUUCUGUUACGACUGCAAGAUUCAAAAACAAAAGACUCAGGAGUCGCGAAGAGUUUAGCUCAAAUAUAGACAUUUAUUUCAUCAUCAACGACACCUUCAAGUUAAAAACACAAGCUUUACAGACUUGCAGAAAAAUAUAUAUAGUUUUGUGCUAACUCAUCCUCAUUCAAAAAUCUCAUUUCCACUCACACUUAACUUUACACUCACCACAAAAUUGCACUGUUUAAAAACUAAAAAUCUCUUUCUCUUGACCAAUCAAGUAUCAACGCAGCAGUGGCCACGUCUUUGAAUUAUUAAAAUAAGGCAAAUGUGCCAAUUCACGUCUACCUGGAAAACAAAAAAAAAGGAAGGGCUAGC